AUGGGGAGUGCUGGCGAGUUUGGGAUGUGGGGAGCAGGGCGAUGCUGUUUGGAGCACCCCCAGCCCCCCGAGCCAGGUCACCCAUUGUCCCCACGCCGGAUCCCCUCCCGCAGCCCCGGGAGGGGUCAGCCGGGUCCUGCGGCCUUUGGGGAUGCGGGAGACACUGGGUGGGGCUCUCCCGGGCUGUGGCCGUGCUCCCCGCAUCCUCUGCGUCUGCCAGAGGGCGGGAUGGGACCCUCCUGCCCGGGCGCGGAGGGGCUGAGGCAGGAGGAGUCGCCCGCCGGCUCUGGGGGUCGCUGGCCGGAGCCAGGCAGGGUGGCUGGACGUGGAGCCGGACCCGCCCCAUCCCUCCAUCCCUCCAUCCAUCCAUCCCAUCCCGCACGGUCACCUAUGGGACAAAGCAAAAGGAAUCGCGCAGCCCAGGCCCCCCCUGGCCACCGGCGAGGCGUGCGGGGCCACAGGCAGGGCCAGCAGUCCCUGUCCCCAGCACCCCCCGGUGUCCCGGCCACCACCGGGCUCCCGGGCGCCGUGUCCAGCCCUCGGCGCGGAGGCCAGUCCCGGAUGGGAGGGUUGGGCGUGAGGGGACAUGUGCAGGGACAUCCGUGUGCGUGGGUACCCGUGCCUAGGGGCACGUGUGGGCAUGGGCGCGCACUCGCACGGGCACUGUGGGCACGGGCACACGUGUGGGCACCCAUUGGCAUGGGCGUUGAUUGUCGCGGGCUCUCCUGUGUGUGUGCAGCCAUGUGCAGGGUCGCGGGCACCCACACAGCCUGGAAUCACUGUGGGUGGGCGUCUGUGUGGUCACGGGCACUCGUUUCAGUGGGCACAGAGUCCCGUGUGCGUGUACAUCCGUGCGUGUGGGCACCCGUGGGCACCCGUGGGCACGAGCAUCCAUAUCAGUGCAUCCGUGUGUGCGUGUGUGCGCCCGUGUGUGUGCAUUCACGUGUGCGUGCGUCCAUGUGUGUGUGUGCGCAUCCGUGUGUGUGUGUGUGUGUGUGUGCAUUCAUGUGUGUGUGUGUGCAUUCAUGUGUGCGUGCGUCCAUACCUGUGAAUCCAUGCGUGUGUGUUUAUCCACGUGUGUGUGUGCAUCCGUGUGUGUGCGUGUGUGUGUGUGCAUUCAUGUGUGCAUGCACUGUGUGUCUGUGUCUGUGUGUGUCUGCAUGUUUGUGUGUCUGUGUGUGUGUGUCUGUAUGUCCAUGUGUGUGUCUGUGUCUGUCUGUGUGUCUAUGUGUCCAUGUGUGUAUGUCUGUGUGUCUGUGUCUGUGUCUGUGUCUGUGUCUGUGUGUCCAUGUGUGUGUGUCUGUGUGUCUGUGUGUCUGUGUGUGUCUGCAUGUUUGUGUGUGUGUAUGUCCAUGUGUGUCCAUGUGUGUGUGUCUGUGUCUGUGUGUCCAUAUGUGUGUGUGUGUGUUUCUGUGUGUCUGUGUCUGUCUGUGUGUCUGUGUCUGUGUGUGUCUGCAUGUUUGUGUGUCUGUGUGUGUGUGUCUGUAUGUCCAUGUGUGUGUCUGUGUCUGUCUGUGUGUCUAUGUGUCCAUGUGUGUAUGUCUGUGUGUCUGUGUCUGUGUCUGUGUCUGUGUCUGUGUGUCCAUGUGUGUGUGUCUGUGUGUCUGUGUGUCUGUGUGUGUCUGCAUGUUUGUGUGUGUGUAUGUCCAUGUGUGUCCAUGUGUGUGUGUCUGUGUCUGUGUGUCCAUAUGUGUGUGUGUGUGUUUCUGUGUGUCUGUGUCUGUCUGUGUGUCUGUGUCUGUGUGUGUCUGCAUGUUUGUGUGUCUGUGUGUGUGUGUCUGUAUGUCCAUGUGUGUGUCUGUGUCUGUCUGUGUGUCUAUGUGUCCAUGUGUGUAUGUCUGUGUGUCUGUGUCUGUGUCUGUGUCUGUGUCUGUGUGUCCAUGUGUGUGUGUCUGUGUGUCUGUGUGUCUGUGUGUGUCUGCAUGUUUGUGUGUGUGUAUGUCCAUGUGUGUCCAUGUGUGUGUGUCUGUGUCUGUGUGUCCAUAUGUGUGUGUGUGUGUUUCUGUGUGUCUGUGUCUGUCUGUGUGUCUGUGUCUGUGUGUGUCUGCAUGUUUGUGUGUCUGUGUGUGUGUGUCUGUAUGUCCAUGUGUGUGUCUGUGUCUGUCUGUGUGUCUAUGUGUCCAUGUGUGUAUGUCUGUGUGUCUGUGUCUGUGUCUGUGUCUGUGUCUGUGUGUCCAUGUGUGUGUGUCUGUGUGUCUGUGUGUCUGUGUGUGUCUGCAUGUUUGUGUGUGUGUAUGUCCAUGUGUGUCCAUGUGUGUGUGUCUGUGUCUGUGUGUCCAUAUGUGUGUGUGUGUGUUUCUGUGUGUCUGUGUCUGUCUGUGUGUCUGUGUCUGUGUGUGUCUGCAUGUUUGUGUGUCUGUGUGUGUGUGUCUGUAUGUCCAUGUGUGUGUCUGUGUCUGUCUGUGUGUCUAUGUGUCCAUGUGUGUAUGUCUGUGUGUCUGUGUCUGUGUCUGUGUCUGUGUCUGUGUGUCCAUGUGUGUGUGUCUGUGUGUCUGUGUGUCUGUGUGUGUCUGCAUGUUUGUGUGUGUGUAUGUCCAUGUGUGUCCAUGUGUGUGUGUCUGUGUCUGUGUGUCCAUAUGUGUGUGUGUGUGUUUCUGUGUGUCUGUGUCUGUCUGUGUGUCUGUGUCUGUGUGUGUCUGCAUGUUUGUGUGUCUGUGUGUGUGUGUCUGUAUGUCCAUGUGUGUGUCUGUGUCUGUCUGUGUGUCUAUGUGUCCAUGUGUGUAUGUCUGUGUGUCUGUGUCUGUGUCUGUGUCUGUGUCUGUGUGUCCAUGUGUGUGUGUCUGUGUGUCUGUGUGUCUGUGUGUGUCUGCAUGUUUGUGUGUGUGUAUGUCCAUGUGUGUCCAUGUGUGUGUGUCUGUGUCUGUGUGUCCAUAUGUGUGUGUGUGUGUUUCUGUGUGUCUGUGUCUGUCUGUGUGUCUGUGUCUGUGUGUGUCUGCAUGUUUGUGUGUCUGUGUGUGUGUGUCUGUAUGUCCAUGUGUGUGUCUGUGUCUGUCUGUGUGUCUAUGUGUCCAUGUGUGUAUGUCUGUGUGUCUGUGUCUGUGUCUGUGUCUGUGUCUGUGUGUCCAUGUGUGUGUGUCUGUGUGUCUGUGUGUCUGUGUGUGUCUGCAUGUUUGUGUGUGUGUAUGUCCAUGUGUGUCCAUGUGUGUGUGUCUGUGUCUGUGUGUCCAUAUGUGUGUGUGUGUGUUUCUGUGUGUCUGUGUCUGUCUGUGUGUCUGUGUCUGUGUGUGUCUGCAUGUUUGUGUGUCUGUGUGUGUGUGUCUGUAUGUCCAUGUGUGUGUCUGUGUCUGUCUGUGUGUCUAUGUGUCCAUGUGUGUAUGUCUGUGUGUCUGUGUCUGUGUCUGUGUCUGUGUCUGUGUGUCCAUGUGUGUGUGUCUGUGUGUCUGUGUGUCUGUGUGUGUCUGCAUGUUUGUGUGUGUGUAUGUCCAUGUGUGUCCAUGUGUGUGUGUCUGUGUCUGUGUGUCCAUAUGUGUGUGUGUGUGUUUCUGUGUGUCUGUGUCUGUCUGUGUGUCUGUGUCUGUGUGUGUCUGCAUGUUUGUGUGUCUGUGUGUCUGUAUGUCCAUGUGUGUCUGUGUGUUCAUGUGUGUGUAUGUGUCUGUGUGUCUGUGUGUCUGCCUGUGUGUGUGUGUCCAUGUGUGUCUGUGUGUCCGUGUGUCUGUGUGUGUGUGUGUGUGUGUGUGCAUCCCAGGUUCAUGGAUCCCAGGCUCCUGUGGGUCAGUGUGCAAGGCAGCUGUGUGGGUGUCCCUGUGCCCCAGUGUCCCUGUCAGUGGGUGUCCCUGUGUCCCAGUGUCCCUGUGCCCCGGUGUCCCUGUCAGUGGGGUGUCCCUGUAUCAGGGUGUCCCUGUGUCGGGGUGUCCCUGUAUCAGGGUGUCCCUGUCAGUGGGGUGUCCCUGUGUCGGGGUUUCCCUGUAUCAGGGUGUCCCUGUAUCAGGGUGUCCCUGUGUUGGGGUGUCCCUGUAUCAGGGUGUCCCUGUCAGUGUGUCCCUGUGUCGGGGUGUCCCUGUAUCAGGGUGUCCCUGUAUCAGGGUGUCCCUGUCAGUGUGUCCCUGUGUCGGGGUGUCCCUGUAUCAGGGUGUCCCUGUGUCGGGGUGUCCCUGUCAGUGGAUGUCCCUGUACCCCCCCCCCCCCCCCCCCCCCCCCCCCCCCCCCCCCCCCCCCCCCCCCCCCCCCCCCCCCCCCCCC
This 4179-nucleotide long non-coding RNA is filed under the name Ficedula albicollis (Collared flycatcher). RNAcentral describes it as "lncRNA (ENSFALG00000024583.1)". The record is from RNAcentral. Lineage: Eukaryota; Metazoa; Chordata; Aves; Passeriformes; Muscicapidae.